Long non-coding RNA from Pteropus alecto (black flying fox), 770 nucleotides. RefSeq lists it as uncharacterized. The transcript is spliced from 3 exons. The record is from RefSeq and is a predicted model, not a curated record. NCBI's taxonomy places the organism in Eukaryota, Metazoa, Chordata, Mammalia, Chiroptera, Pteropodidae.
GUGGUCCUGGUUGUCGUGGGUGCAGGAACCAGGAGCCCACGCAGCGGUCAGCUGGUCCCGACACGGACUACGGCCCUGCGGAAGAGAAUGGUUUCUCUGCAGGCUGAUGGCAGGGCCGAUGGCAUAUGCCAUUCAUUUCUUCCUGCAGCCACCCCUCCGCCUACCUCUCUUCUCUGCCUGACCGCCGUAGAGCUGUGAGCCGAUCCAGCUCCUGCCGCCUGGGAGGGACACAGGAAAAGAUGCACGGAGGACGACACGAGUGAGUCAGAGACGACGUGGGCCGAGAGGAUGUUAGGAUGGAGGAAAGUUAGAGUUGCCACGUGCUGUUCAUUAGUUUUGGGCGCACAGACACCCCCACGCCUGCUGGUGUGAUCGCCAGGGACGUCUAGCCCGCGUGGGAGCCCCGUCUCGGCUGCUGGUGCCAGUGAGGGCUCUUUGAGCAGUGACGUCUGAGGACAGAGCCCAGCGGAUUUGAGCGGAAGAAGUGUCUGGGGGAGAAGCAUCUGGAGAAAAGGGGGCGCACGUGCCAAGUCCUCGAGACCCUUCAGGAGACCCCCGCCUCGGGCCGAGCCCCCGUAUAAUUCUGCACCCCAGCUCAUGCCAAACCUGGGCCACCCUGUGGACACAUAGACCCACCGAUUUCUCAAAUUAGUUUUUAAUUCUGGUGCAAUCUCCGUCACACAGCAUUUACCGUCUUAACUGAGUUUAAGCGUUCCGUUCAGUGGCGUUAAGUACCUUCUCGCGCUGGCAGCUGUCACCACCGUCCCCUC